AGCGAACGCUGGCGGCAGGCCUAACACAUGCAAGUCGAACGGACCCUUCGGGGUUAGUGGCGGACGGGUGAGUAACACGUGGGAACGUGCCUUUAGGUCGGAAUAGCUCCUGGAAACGGGUGGUAAUGCCGAAUGUGCCCUUCGGGGGAAAGAUUUAUCGCCUUUAGAGCGGCCCGCGUCUGAUUAGCUUGUUGGUGGGGUAAUGGCCCACCAAGGCUACGAUCAGUAGCUGGUCUGAGAGGAUGACCAGCCACAUUGGGACUGAGACACGGCCCAAACUCCUACGGGAGGCAGCAGUGGGGAAUCUUGCGCAAUGGGCGAAAGCCUGACGCAGCCAUGCCGCGUGUAUGAUGAAGGUCUUAGGAUUGUAAAAUACUUUCACCGGUGAAGAUAAUGACUGUAGCCGGAGAAGAAGCCCCGGCUAACUUCGUGCCAGCAGCCGCGGUAAUACGAAGGGGGCUAGCGUUGCUCGGAAUUACUGGGCGUAAAGGGAGCGUAGGCGGACAUUU
This 509-nucleotide ribosomal RNA is filed under the name uncultured bacterium. RNAcentral's name for it is "bacterial SSU rRNA". It matches the Rfam family "Bacterial small subunit ribosomal RNA", at positions 28 to 584 of the family's 1533-position model. The record is from RNAcentral.